RNAcentral lists this ribosomal RNA (416 nucleotides) under uncultured bacterium. RNAcentral describes it as "bacterial SSU rRNA". It matches the Rfam family "Bacterial small subunit ribosomal RNA", at positions 359 to 773 of the family's 1533-position model. The record is from RNAcentral.
GAAUAUUGGACAAUGGGCGCAAGCCUGAUCCAGCCAUGCCGCGUGCAGGAAGACGGCCCUAUGGGUUGUAAACUGCUUUUAUACGGGAAGAAAACGCCCCUGCGGGGGUAACUGACGGUACCGUGUGAAUAAGCACCGGCUAACUCCGUGCCAGCAGCCGCGGUAAUACGUAGGGUGCGAGCGUUAAUCGGAAUUACUGGGCGUAAAGUGUGCGCAGGCGGCCGAGCAAGUCGAGUGUGAAAGCCCCGGGCUUAACUUGGGAAUUGCGCUCGAAACUACUUGGCUGGAGUGUGGCAGAGGAAGGUGGAAUUCCACGUGUAGCGGUGAAAUGCGUAGAGAUGUGGAGGAACACCAAUGGCGAAGGCAGCCUUCUGGGCCAACACUGACGCUCAUGCACGAAAGCGUGGGGAGCAAAC